RNAcentral lists this ribosomal RNA (394 nucleotides) under uncultured bacterium. Its description in RNAcentral is "partial 16S ribosomal RNA". It matches the Rfam family "Bacterial small subunit ribosomal RNA", at positions 523 to 918 of the family's 1533-position model. The record is from RNAcentral.
ACACGUAGGGGGCGAGCGUUAUCCGGAAUUACUGGGCGUAAAGAGUGCGUAGGUGGCUUUGCAAGCGUAGGGUAUAAGGCGACAGCCCAACUGUCGUUGGCCCCGCGAACUGUAAGGCUUGAGUACAGGAGGGGAAGGCGGAAUUCCUAGUGUAGCGGUGAAAUGCGUAGAUAUUAGGAGGAACACCAGUGGCGAAGGCGGCCUUCUGGACUGUAACUGACACUGAGGCACGAAAGCGUGGGUAGCAAACAGGAUUAGAUACCCUGGUAGUCCACGCCGUAAACGAUGAGCACUAGGUGUCGGGCUCGCAAGAGUUCGGUGCCGGAGCAAACGCAUUAAGUGCUCCGCCUGGGGAGUACGCACGCAAGUGUGAAACUCAAAUGAAUUGGCGGGG